Molecule: ribosomal RNA, 267 nt
Filed under: uncultured Lactobacillus sp.
Lineage: Bacteria; Bacillati; Bacillota; Bacilli; Lactobacillales; Lactobacillaceae
Description: partial 16S ribosomal RNA
Rfam family: Bacterial small subunit ribosomal RNA
Source: RNAcentral
UACAGGGCGAUGAUGCAUAGCCGAGUUGAGAGACUGAUCGGCCACAUUGGGACUGAGACACGGGCCAAAACUCUACGGGGAGGCAGCAGUAGGGAAUCUUCCACAAUGGACGCAAGUCUGAUGGAGCAACGCCGCGUGAGUGAAGAAGGGUUUCGGCUCGUAAAAGCUCUGUUGUUGGUGAAGAAGGACAGGGGUAGUAACUGACCUUUGUUUGACGGUAAUCAAUUAGAAAGUCACGGCUAACUACGUGCCAGCAGCUGCGGUAAU